Molecule: transfer RNA, 74 nt
Filed under: bacterium
Lineage: Bacteria
Description: tRNA-Pro
Rfam family: tRNA
About the family: Transfer RNA (tRNA) molecules are approximately 80 nucleotides in length. Their secondary structure includes four short double-helical elements and three loops (D, anti-codon, and T loops).
Source: RNAcentral
CGGGCCGUAGUAUACCGGUAGUACGCCUGUUUUGGGAACAGGUAGACCGGGUUCGAUUCCCGGCGGCCCGACUA